This is a non-coding RNA of Podarcis lilfordi (Lilford's wall lizard), 198 nucleotides long. The record is from the annotation of a GenBank genome assembly. Lineage: Eukaryota; Metazoa; Chordata; Lepidosauria; Squamata; Lacertidae.
UCUUUCUAUUUAAAAAAAAAAAAGAUUUAAAUUGGGCAUAGGCAAACUCGGCCCUUCAGUUGUUUUGGGACUACAACACCCAUUAUCCCUGACCACUGGUCCUGUUAGCUAGGGAUGAUGGGAGUUGUAGUCCCAAAACAUCUGGAGGGCCGAGUUUGCCUAUGCCUGAUUUAAAUCAAAUCUUACUGACUAGUGAUU